GAGUCUUGCUCUUUCGCCCAGGCUGGAGUGCAGUGGCCCGAUCUCAGCUCACUGCAAGCUCCGCCUCCUGGGUUCACGCCAUUCUCCUGCCUCAGCCUCCCGAGUAGCUGGGACUACAGGCGCCCGCCACCACGCCCGGCUAAUUUUUUCUAUUUUUAGUAGAGACGGGGUUUCACCGUGUUAGCUAGGAUGGUCUCGAUCUCCUGACCUCGUGAUCCGCCCGCCUCGGCCUCCCAAAGUGCUGGGAUUACAGGCGUGAGCCACCGCGCCCGGCCUAUCAUUAGUUCUUAUAGGUUUUGGGAUAGGCGGUGGAGUUAGGAGCAAUGUUUUGCGGGCAGGGGCUGGAUCUCACAAAGUACAUUCUCAAGGGUGGGGAGAAUUACAAAGAACCUUCUUAAGGGUGGGGGAGAUUACAAAGUACAUUGAUCAGUUAGGGUGGGGCAGAAACAAAUCACAAUGGUGGAAUGUCAUCAGUUAAGGCUAUUUUCACUUCUUUUGUGAAUCUUCAGUUGCUUCAGGCCAUCUGGAUGUAUACGUGCAGGUCACAGGGGAUAUGAUGGCUUAGCUUGGGCUCAGAGGCCUGACAAUUAUCUUGCCCAGGCUGUGAGCUCCUGGCCUCAAGCGAUCCACCUCCCUCGGCCUCUCAAAGUGCUGAGAUUACAGGUGUGAGCCACUGCACCCAGUUGCUCACUGUUAUUUGGCAACCAGAAUGUUCACUUUGAUGAUAACGUUAGUAUUUCUCCAUUAUUCCUGGUUUGAUUUUAUAUGUCUAAUGAUUAACAGUUCACAAAGUGCUUUCUUGUCUCAUUGGAAACACAAGUUUUUUCAUCUUCUCAGCUUCUAGUCAUUGUUCUAGUCUUCCUCUUGUGGGAAGGGGAAGAGGACUAAAAUGACUUCUCAAAUUCCUUGUGAGUGCUAUUAAAAUAACAGUAAGCUCUGUUGUAUAUCCAAGGUGAGGACCUUGCUCUUGGACUCCUUUUCCCCAGAGCCUUUAGGCUAUAAUCUCAGAAGUUCAUUCCUACUUCAGUUUUGCUCUCCAUUUUCCCUUUAUUCCAUUCCUGAUCAUGCCUUCCAGGUCAUGCUCUAUCAGGGAAUUCUGUUUCUGUCAAAAAGUAGAAGGAAUUUAGAACUUAGGGAUUAUUCUGCCCGAUGUGUUCAUUUUACAGAGGAGUUCACUGAGGCAGAGAGCCAACAAAUGUCAAUGUUAAACCCGCAAAUAAGUGGGAGAGCUGGGCUUGAACCUGAGACUACUCUUCUGCCAGAUGUCUUUUAAAGACAUCAAGCUGUCUUUAAAAGUUACCUGUCAAACGAAAUAUUCUCUCCAACAUAAUGUGUGCUUCUCUUAUAUAGCUAGCCUAUAAAUAUUUGGUUACUGUUGCAAUAGAGAUCUACCCAAUUUUAUAAUAUUUCACAGAUUAUAUUGUAUAUUUUCAAUUUUUCCAGAGGGUGCUUAUUCACCUAGUGUGAAUGGUCUGUGUUGGUCUUCGAAUCAACAAUCAUUUAUGGAGCAUCUACUAUGUGCCAAGCAUAAUACUGGCAUUGGGGACAUGAGAACCAAUGCCCUUCCACUCUCCCCGUGGUGGGUUUUGGUCUGAUUUUAACUGGAAGUAUUAUUUGGAUUUGCGUAGGCUCAUUCAACAUUGGAUCAUUAGUAACUCUUUGGAUUUAUUGUAAAUGGUCCUGCAAAUGUGAGAAAAUUAGUAACAAGAAUUGAACUCUAACAAGGUGUUCAAAUGCUGACGUUAAAGCCUUUACCUAGGCAGGCGUGGUGGCUCACACUUGUAAUCCUAGCACUUUGGAAAGCUGAGGCGGGCAGGGCGCUUGAGGCCAGGAGUUCGAGACCAGCCUGGGCAAAAUGGUGAAACCCCGUCUUUAAAAAAAUACAAAAAGUAGCCAGAUAUGGUGGCGCACAACUAUAGUACCAGCUACAUGGGAGGCUGAGGUGGGAGGAUGGUUUGACCCUAAGUGGCGGAGGUUGCAGUGAGCCGAAAUAGUGCCACUACACUCCAGCCUGGGUGGCAGAGCAGGACACUGUCUCAAAAAUAAAUACAUAAAUAAAGCCUUUACCUGUGCAUUUAGGAUUUUUUGCACUGCAGAGGACCCAAUAACCUUUAUCUAUGUAUCAUCUGUCUGUCUGUCUAUCUAUCUAAUCUAUAGAGAAGGUCUCACUCUGUCACUCAGGGUGGUGCGAUCAUAGUUCACCGCAGCCUCCAACUCCUGCGCUCAAGCGACCCUCCCGCCUCAGCCUCCUGAGUAGCUGAGACCACAGACACUGGCCACCAUCCGCCUUGGCCUCCAAAAGUGCUGGGAUUACAGGCGUGAACCACCCAGCCAAGAGCCACUAUUUAAAUGUCGCCAAGUGUGGUUUAAAAAGUUUCCCAAUUUUGAGGGGGGCAAGGGUUGAAAAACUAUUAGGUACUAUGUUCAGCACCGAAGUGACGAGAUGAUUCGUACCCUGAACCUUAGCAUCACACAAUAUACCCAGGUCACAUCUGCACAUGUAGCCCCUGAAUCUAAAAUAAAAGUUGAAACUAUAAAAAAAAAAAGUCUCCCAAAUUUGUUACAAAAAUGCCAAAGAAGGUUAAUCUCGGGUAAUCGAAUUCCGUUUCCUGGUGUUUUCCUUUAUUCUUUUUUUCUUCCAGCCGGCUCCACCUCCAGAGAGGCCCAACAGGGGGCUCGCGCGGUCGUUUGGGCUCGGCUGCCGUAGAAGCCGGGCGCACUGGGCCGGAGCUGCCCCGCCGGGGUUGGGUCGUGGCUGCCAGGGCGCGUCGCCAGGAGGCCUCGCGGGCCGCCCUUCCGCUCUCCCGGGGCUGGGCGGCGCUGUCCGGCUCUUCCUGCCGCGCUCUGGCCACUCCCCCUCGCCCCUCGCUCGGCUUGGCCUUGGCGGCCGUGCUCUGCAGGCAGUGCCUCCCUCGGGCGUGGGUCUGCAGGAGAGCCGGACAGGGCAGCGGCCGGCACUACCGCGCCGCGAUUUGCGCAGAGCUGAAGAAGCCCCUGACCAUUGAAGAGGUGGCCCCCGCCCCGUCGGGCCUCACGAGGUCAGAGUUGAUGUCCAUUUCUGUGGAGUUAACUUUGGUGAUAUUUUGAUCUGCCAUGAUCAAUAUCAGGAAAGGCCCCAUCUUCCCUUCAUACCUGGAAUGGAGUUUUCUGGGACAGUAUUGGAGACAGGCACAGAUGUCAGGACAGUUAAAGAGGGAGAUAGAGUUAUUGGCACAAGAAACUUUAAUUGUAUGGCUGAAGAAUGCGUCAUUGACCAGAAGGACCUGUGGCAGAUUCCAGAAACGGUCUCCCUAUAAGAAGCUGCUGUCCUCCCUAUAACUUAUGGCACUGCGAUUUUUGCUCUUGAGCACUGGGCCCGUACCCAGCCUGGGUAAUAUAGCUGCUGCUGGAAGUGACGAGAAGUGCAAGCUGGCGAUGCAGAGGGGUGCGCAGUCCAGCGUGAACUACAGUCAGGGCAGCCUGAAGGAUGCAGUGAGGAAGCUGGUGGGCGAGGGCGGGGUGAAUGUGGCCAUCGACAUGGUGGGAGGAGACAUCUGCCUGGAGGCUCUCCGCAGCCUGGCAUGGGAGGGCAGGAUUGUGGUGGUGGGAUUUGCUGGAGGAAACAUUGCUUCUGAACCAGCCAACCUUCUGCUCCUGAAGAAUAUCUCUGCUAUGGGCCUGUACUGUGGUCAAUACAAAGAUAUGAACUUUCCCAUCUUCUCCAAGAGCCUAUCUUCAGUGCUUCAGUACUGCCAGCAAGGGUGCAUCCAGCUAUAUGUCGGAAUGGUUUUCAAGCUGGACGAGGAAGAUAAAAUAACUGCACAACUUACUCAAAACCCAGGACAAAUUCAGAGAGUCAAGGAUGGAACUUUGGGCUCCCCAGAGGCUGCCCCAGACACGAGGGAAGGCCACAGCACCCUCAAAGGAUCCAGACCGAGGGUUUCGGAGAGAUGGACAUCAUUGGCCUGUCCCUCACUCUUGGCACAAUGGAGAGAGGUUUCACCAAUGGCAAGACAACCGUGGGAGCCCCCAGCCACAACAGGAGCCCAGGGCAGACCAUCAGCAGCCCCAUUAUGCAUCCAGGCCAGGGGACUGGCAUCAGCCUGUGUCCGGAGUUGACUAUUACGAAGGUGGUUAUCCCAAUCAGUUGUAUUCAAGGCCAGGUUAUGAGAAUUCAUAUCAGAGCUAUCAGUCUCCCACAAUGAGGGAGGAAUAUGCUUAUGGAAGUUAUUACUAUCAUGGACACCCACAGUGGCUGCAGGAAGAAAGAGUGCCAAGGCAACAGAGUCCUUAUAUCUGGCAUGAAGAUUACCGAGAGCAAAAGUACCUUGAUGAACAUCAUUAUGAAAACCAGCACAGUCCAUUUGGAACAAAUAGUGAGACCUACUUCCAAUCUAACAGUAGGAACCCUUGUAAAGACAGCCCUGCUUCCAACUCUGGACAGGAGUGGCCGGGGGAGCUGUUUCCAGGGAGCCUGCUUGCUGAGGCCCAGAAAAAUAAGCCAUCAUUGGCUAGUGAGUCCAACCUUCUCCAGCAGCGUGAGUCUGGUCUCAGCUCCAGCAGCUAUGAGCUCAGUCAAUACAUCAGAGAUGCCCCGGAGCGGGAUGAUCCCCCAGCUUCAGCAGCUUGGAGUCCAGUUCAGGCUGAGGAUGUCUCCUCAGCUGGUCCCAAAGCACCCAUGAAGUUCUACAUCCCUCAUGUUCCUGUGAGUUUCGGGCCAGGAGGUCAGCUGGUGCGUGUAGGUCCCAGCUCUCCCACUGACGGGCAAGCAGCCCUUGUUGAACUGCACAGCAUGGAGGUUAUUCUUAAUGAUUCCGAAGAGCAAGAGGAGAUGAGAAGUUUCUCAGGACCCUUGAUUAGGGAAGAUGUACAUAAGGUGGAUAUUAUGACGUUUUGCCAGCAGAAAGCAGCUCAGAGCUGCAAAUCUGAGACACUGGGGAGCAGAGACUCAGCUCUACUGUGGCAGCUCUUGGUUCUCCUUUGUCGCCAGAAUGGGUCCAUGGUGGGGUCUGACAUCGCUGAGCUGCUAAUGCAAGACUGCAAGAAGCUGGAGAAGUACAAGCGGCAGCCCCCUGUGGCCAACCUCAUCAGCCUGACCGAUGAGGACUGGCCAGUGCUGAGCUCUGGGACCCCGAACCUGCUCACGGGAGAGAUCCCCCCCAGUGUGGAGACACCUGCGCAGAUCGUGGAGAAAUUCACUAGGCUGCUCUACUAUGGAAGGAAGAAGGCAACCUUGGAGUGGGCCAUGAAGAACCACUUGUGGGGUCAUGCUUUGUUCCUGUCCAGCAAGAUGGACCCAUGGACCUACAGCUGGGUCAUGAGUGGCUUCACCAGCACGCUGGCGCUCAAUGACCCACUGCAGACCCUCUUCCAGCUCAUGUCGGGGAGGAUUCCACAGGCAGCCACGUGUUGUGGAGAAAAGCAGUGGGGAGACUGGAGGCCUCACCUGGCUGUGAUUCUGUCGAAUCAGGCUGGGGACCCAGAGCUGUAUCAGCGUGCGAUUGUUGCCAUUGGGGACACCCUGGCUGGGAAGGGGCUUGUGGAGGCAGCUCACUUCUGCUACCUCGUGGCUCACGUGCCCUUUGGCCACUACACCGUGAAGACAGACCAUCUGGUCUUGCUGGGCAGCAGCCACAGUCAAGAGUUUUUGAAAUUUGCAACAACUGAGGCAAUCCAGAGGACGGAAAUCUUCGAGUACUGUCAGAUGCUGGGCCGCCCCAAAUCCUUCAUCCCUUCUUUCCAGGUGUAUAAGCUCCUUUAUGCUUCCCGUCUGGCAGAUUAUGGCCUCGUGUCUCAGGCUUUGCAUUACUGCGAAGCCAUUGGUGCAGCUGUCUUGAGCCAGGGAGAGAGCAGUCACCCUGUGCUAUUAGUGGAACUCAUCAAGCUAGCAGAGAAACUGAAGCUGUCAGAUCCUCUGGUUUUAGAAAGACGCAGUGGAGACAGGGACCUGGAGCCAGAUUGGCUAGUGCAACUUCGGAGGCAGCUGGAGCAAAAGGUAGCAGGAGACAUUGGGGAUCCUCAUCCUACUCGCUCAGAUAUUUCGGGAGCCAGAGGAACAACAACAGAAAACACUUUCUACCAGGACUUUUCUGGAUGUCAAGGCUACUCUGAAGCCCCUGGGUACCGCUCAGCUCUGUGGCUGACACCUGAGCAGACCUGCCUGCUCCAGCCCAGCCCACAGCAGCCCUUUCCCCUCCAGCUGGGCUCCUACCCAGCAGGAGGGGGUGCAGGGCAGACAGGGACACCGAGGCCUUUUUACUCAGUUCCUGAGACCCAUCUACCAGGGACUGGCAGCAGCGUGGCAGUGACAGAGGCCACUGGAGGAACAGUCUGGGAGGAAACGCUGCAGACACACCUGGGCCCUGGAGAGAACACAGUGUCUCAAGAAACUUCCCAGCCUCCUGAUGGCCAAGAGGUCAUUUCCAAACCACAGACACCAUUGGCUGCUAGAGCACGAAGUAUUUCUGAGAGUUCCACCAAUUCAGCCAAGGAGGAUGAGAAGGAGUCCUCUGAUGAGACUGAUAAAAACUCUCCCCGAAAUACUGCCCAGAGAGGCAAGCUCGGAGAUGGGAAGGAGCAUACAAAGAGCUCAGGGUUUGGCUGGUUCAGCUGGUUUCGAUCGAAGCCCACCAAGAACGCAUCCCCCUCUGGAGACGAGGACUCCUCAGACAGCCCUGACUCUGAGCAGGAGACCCCCAGAGCAUCUUCUCCCCACCAGGCUGGCCUGGGCCUCUCACUGACACCUUCCCCUGAGUCCCCACCUCUGCCGGAUGUUAGUGCCUUCUCCAGGGGCACAGGUGGGGGUGAAGGCCGAGGAUCCGCAUCCAGCGGGGGAGCAGCUGCGGGCGCUGGGGUUGGAGGCUUGUCUGGACCGGAGGCCUCGACAUUCUGGAAUCUGGGAGGCAGGCACUGAUGGGAUUUUCCAUGCUUUUCCAUCACAGAGUGUUUCCUUUGAGCUCUGCUCCAACCCUGGUGUUCUUCUUCCUCCACCUGCCUUAAAAGGGGCUGUUCCUCUUUACAACCCAUCUCAGGUGCCUCAGCUGCCCACGGCCACUAGCCUGAAUCGGCCAAAUCGCCUAGCUCAGCGUCGCUAUCCCACCCAGCCAUGCUGAGAAUAAACACACGUCCCAGGCUCAUCUCCCAGGACUGAAACUUUUCUUGCUCUCUUUUUCUCAAUCUCCCAGCCCCUCUCUACCAUAUUGGGACCCUCAAGAGGUUUGUGCUAGCCCGAUGCCUCCACCGGGCACUUAGAAGGCAAGAGGACAGGAUCUCUCAAGACACAGCACAAUUCAGUCUCUUAAGAUUAGCUUCACAAUGAUGGAAAUUAUUUCAUCAGGUGGAAAGUCUGGGUCUAAUAGCAGACUGCACAUGAGCAGAGUGACAUGGUGGUGGCACUUAUGGUGGUGGCUUGAGACCUUGGGGAAAUUAGGGCCCUAACAGCUAGAAUCAAAGAUGAUACCGCAGGGCCCUGUAGCAAGAAAUGGGAAGCAGGGGGAGGGGCAGGGGCUCAGAACAAUAUUCUAGACCAACUUUGACUACUUCCUGUCUUAGUAAUAGACCAAUACAUGGCUCUAUUUAGCAAAGUUUUUAUACUGAAACUUGAUUAUUGCUGCCCUUUAUAAUUUCCUCUUCAAUGAUAUUUCAGCAGUUUCCCUCUUGGUCCUAGUUUUGUGCACAUUUUUUUGAAUGUGGUUCAGAUUAAUUAUAUUUCUCUCACUUUCUUAGCUGGUCCUAUUUUUUCACAUUCUGGCAUGUGGCUAUCAAGUUAGAUUGCUGUAGGCAUCAUAUUGUCAUGGUAACUACUGAACCUAAUGAUGCAGAUGGAUGGCACAUCAGUAUAAUAAAUGAUGGAAAACGGUUCCUAAAAAUUCAUCCCUUUCAUAAGAGGGGAAGAAUGAGUGCCUGAUAUUGUUCAUACCUCCCUUUCUACCUCAGGCCUUUGCAAAUUGAUGUUCAGAGGGUCACUGGAGUGAGAGGGAGGAGGGGGGCGUCUUGGAAAUUUCCAUUUCUCUUUUCAAACCCAAAAUAGGAAUGACUCUUGCUGUUUGUCAGAUUUGCUGAAAAUUGCUCCUCACAAAGAACAUUUUUUUUGUACAUGUAAUUGUAAAUACAGGUUUAGUACAUUAAUGUUCUAUAGUUCUGAUGUUGAUAAUAAUUAAACCCAGAUAAUUUUAUAGCAAA
RNA transcript from Pan troglodytes (chimpanzee), 8160 nucleotides. It is a transcript of the gene named SEC16 homolog B, endoplasmic reticulum export factor, with no coding region annotated. The transcript is spliced from 33 exons. Lineage: Eukaryota; Metazoa; Chordata; Mammalia; Primates; Hominidae. The record is from RefSeq and is a predicted model, not a curated record.